AUACGUAGGUGGCAAGCGUUGUCCGGAAUUACUGGGCGUAAAGGAUGCGUAGGCGGCCUCUUAAGUGGGAUGUGAAAUCCCGGGGCUUAACCCCGGAGCUGCAUUCCAUACUGGGAGGCUAGAGUGCAGGAGAGGAAAGCGGAAUUCCCAGUGUAGCGGUGAAAUGCGUAGAGAUUGGGAGGAACACCAGUGGCGAAGGCGGCUUUCUGGACUGUAACUGACGCUGAGGCAUGAAAGUGUGGGGAGCAAACAGGAUGAGAUACCCUGGUAGUCCACACCGUAAACGAUGGGCACUAGGUGUAGGGGGUGUAGCCCUCUGUGCCGCAGUUAACACAUUAAGUGCCCCGCCUGGGGAGUACGAUCGCAAGAUUAAA
This 374-nucleotide ribosomal RNA is filed under the name uncultured bacterium. Its description in RNAcentral is "bacterial SSU rRNA". It matches the Rfam family "Bacterial small subunit ribosomal RNA", at positions 523 to 898 of the family's 1533-position model. The record is from RNAcentral.